This 930-nucleotide ribosomal RNA is filed under the name uncultured bacterium. RNAcentral's name for it is "bacterial SSU rRNA". It matches the Rfam family "Bacterial small subunit ribosomal RNA", at positions 8 to 932 of the family's 1533-position model. The record is from RNAcentral.
AGAGUUUGAUCCUGGCUCAGGAUGAACGCUAGCGACAGGCCUAACACAUGCAAGUCUAGGGGCAGCACGGUGUAGCAAUACACGGGUGGCGACCGGCGCACGGGUGAGUAACGCGUAUGCAACCUGCCUACUACAAGGGGAUAACCCGUUGAAAGACGGACUAAUACCCUAUAACACAGGGAAUCCGCAUGGAUAUAUUUGUUAAAGAUUUAUCGGUAGUAGAUGGGCAUGCGUUCCAUUAGCUUGUUGGUGAGGUAACGGCUCACCAAGGCAACGAUGGAUAGGGGAACUGAGAGGUUGAUCCCCCACACUGGAACUGAGACACGGUCCAGACUCCUACGGGAGGCAGCAGUGAGGAAUAUUGGUCAAUGGACGAGAGUCUGAACCAGCCAAGUCGCGUGAAGGAAGACGGCCCUACGGGUUGUAAACUUCUUUUGUAAGGGAAUAAAUAGUCUUACGCGCUAAGACGUUGCAGGUACCUUACGAAUAAGGAUCGGCUAACUCCGUGCCAGCAGCCGCGGUAAUACGGAGGAUCCGAGCGUUAUCCGGAUUUAUUGGGUUUAAAGGGUGCGCAGGCGGCAUGUUAAGUCGGCGGUGAAAUUUUGCAGCUCAACUGUAAAAGAGCCUUCGAAACUGGCAAGCUUGAGUGUGGAUGAAGUAGGCGGAAUUUGUGGUGUAGCGGUGAAAUGCAUAGAUAUCACAAAGAACACCGAUUGCGCAGGCAGCUUACUAAACCAUAACUGACGCUCAUGCACGAAGGCGUGGGGAUCAAACAGGAUUAGAUACCCUGGUAGUCCACGCAGUAAACGAUGAUUACUGGCUGUUUGCGAUACAAUGUAAGCGGCUGAGCGAAAGCGUUAAGUAAUCCACCUGGGGAGUACGUUCGCAAGAAUGAAACUCAAAGGAAUUUGACGGGGCCCGCACAAGCGG